GCUGACACAUCUCGGCCAAUCUCCAGCAGACCCUCCCUCCCAGACCCUCCCACCUCCUGGACAGCAUCCAUGUUGAAGGCAGCUUCAACAUGGAUGCUGUCCAGGAGGUGGGAGGGUCUGGGAGGGAGGGUCUGCUGGAGAUUGGCCGAGAUGUGUCAG
This 159-nucleotide microRNA precursor is filed under the name Pelobates cultripes (western spadefoot toad). The record is from RNAcentral. Lineage: Eukaryota; Metazoa; Chordata; Amphibia; Anura; Pelobatidae.